AUCUCCACCUCUCUGUUUAACCAUGUCUGGUGUAUAUUAGUUGGUAACAUGUUAGGAGGGGGCCUACACAAGGAAAACCUGACUCAUCCAUCAGCAUCUUCAUAAGGAGGGGAUGCUGCAGUGGUGGUGUUCAGGAGGGCAGCGCUCCGGGUGGUGUUCAGGAGGGCAGCGCUCCGGGUGGUGUUCAGGAGGGCAGCGCUCCGGGUGGUGUUCAGGAGGGCAGCGCUCCGGGUGGUGUUCAGUGUUGCACCCUACUAAACAUCCCUGGUGUUGACCAGUGGCAGUUCAUAUCACCUGACUAAACUCUGAAACUAGGUCCCAAAUGUCUGCUUAUUCUCUAUGUAGUGGACUGCUUGGACCACAGCCCUAUAGAUCCUGGUCUAAAGUAGUGCACUGCAUAUGGAGUAGGGGGCCAUUUGGGAUAACCUGAAUGUAUUAUGACUUGCUGUCUGAAGGUGUUAUGGCUAGCCAGUUUUCCGGUCACAUAGCCCCUGUUGUCGGGUCCUCUUACUGAGUUAGUACCUGCUAGUUCCAGGGCUGUCUACCUUCUACCUGCUCUGGAUAACUGGUUGCUUUUGGGACCUUGGAUUGUCUUUUUGUAUCUGGGGUUACGGGGAGCUGGGUUGGGUGAUGGGACGGGGUGGGAGGCUUUAGAAGGUCUAUUACCUCUGUAUACAGGGCUUCUGUUAUUUUGUGGAAUAUCAACAAGCUUGUUUUCUGUUAACCCGGGAUCCUGUUGUGUCUGUUGGCAUUGGAUGUGUCUCAAUUGGCAGCCUGUGCCCUGUUAAGUGCAAUACACAGGGCUCUGGUCUAAAGUAGUGUACUAUAUAGGGAAUAGGGCUCUGGUCUAUAGUAGUGCACUAUAUAGGGAAUAGGGCCCUGGUCUAAUCUAGUGCACUACAUAGGGAAUAGGGCUCUGGUCUAUAGUAGUGUACUAUAUAGGGAAUAGGGCUCUGGUCUAUAGUAGUGUACUAUAUAGGGAAUAGGGCUCUGGUCUAAAGUAGUGUACUAUAUAGGGAAUAGGGCUCUGGUCUAUAGUAGUGUACUAUAUAGGGAAUAGGGCUCUACUCUAGUGGUGUACUAUAUAGGGAAUAGGGUUCUGGUCUAAAGUAGUGCACUAUAUAGGGAAUAGGGCUCUGGUCUAAAGUAGUAAACUAUAUAGGGAAUAGGGCUCUGGUCUAUAGUAGUGCACUACAUAGGGAAUAGGGCUCUGGUCUAAAGUAGUUCACUAUAUAGGGAAUAGGGCUCUGGUCUAUAGUAGUGUACUAUAUAGGGAAUAGGGCUCUGGUCUAUAGUAGUGCACUAUAUAGGGAAUAGGGCCCUGGUCUAAAGUAGUGCACUAUAUAGGGAAUAGGGCUCUGGUCUAUAGUAGUGUACUAUAUAGGGGAAUAGGGCUCUGGUCUAAAGUAGUGCACUAUAUAGGGAAUAGGGCUCUGGUCUAAAGUAGUGCACUAUAUAGGGAAUAGGGCUCUGGUCUAUAGUAGUUGCACUAUAUAGGGAAUAGGGCUCUGGUCUAUAGUAGUGCACUAUAUAGGGAAUAGGGCUCUGGUCUAAAGUAGUGCACUAUAUAGGGAAUAGGGCUCUGGUCUAAAGUAGUGCACUAUAUAGGGAAUAGGGCUCUGGUCUAAAGUAGUGUACUAUAUAGGGAAUAGGGUUCUGGUCUAAAGUAGUGCACUAUAUAGGGAAUAGGGCUCUGGUCUAUAGUAGUACCACUAUAUAGGGAAUAGGGCUCUGGUCUAUAGUAGUACCACUAUAUAGGGAAUAGGGCUCUGGUCUAUAGUAGUACCACUAUAUAGGGAAUAGGGCUCUGGUCUAUAGUAGUACCACUAUAUAUAGGGGAAAUAUUUCCCUUUGGGACAUUUAAUAAUGUGGCUGAUCUGGUAGCCAUGGAAAACAUCUGAUAUGACCUACCGACAUUCUAUUAGACAGACUUCAUCUCAUUAUUACCCUUCUCUCUAGUCUGGUUGGCUCUCAUUCUGUCGUCCUAGAGAUGGUUAUCAUUUACAGCAGGGUUGGGGUCCUCUUCAGGCCGUGGAAUAAUAUCUGUACCUUCUGUCUCUGAGGAGGACCUCUCCUGUGACGUCUUUAUGAAGCCAGAAGUUUCUUCCAAAAGCACUCAUAGAAAACUAAGAAUGAAAUGAGUAAGGAUGAAAUUGAGCCCAACCCUGUUUCACAUUGAGGUGAUUAUCUCAGCAGGCUCAAGUCUAGUUCAGUACAACAUGGUAUAGUAGUAACACCCUUUGUUCAUUCAUCUCAACCAGGAAUGUAUCACUCUGACCCCAACUGUAUGCAAGUUAUCUGUCUGUGUACAUAAACCAACCAGCUCUAUUCAUCACCUUCAAGCUUAAUGAACUGUGUGUGUGUGUGUGUGUGUGUGUGUGUGUGUGUGUGUGUGUGUGUGUGUGUGUGUGUGUGUGUGUGUUUGUUUGCGUGCGUGCAGGGACCCAAAUUGUGUUUUCUCCCCCCAAAAAAAAUAUUUCACAACGAUGAUACCAUGGAAGAAACAUUUACAAAUAUACCUUUUAAAAGCAUGUUCGGUUAUUAUUAUUUUUUACAAUUUUCUUUGCAUAAAUAUCAGUUUUUGUUUGGGAAAACUGCAAACUGUUUGGAAAAUAAACAACAAAAUGUGUGUAAAACAUGGGACCCACGAGUCAUGAUAUCUCCGGUGUGAAGUUUCCCCUAGGUACAGAUCUUAGGAUCAGCUUUCCCUCCCCCAGUCCUUCCCCUAACCAUUAGUGAGGGAAAUGUCAAACUGACCCAAGAUCAGCAUAUAUGGAGCAACUUCACCCAACACCAUUUUUC
Molecule: long non-coding RNA, 2802 nt
Organism: Oncorhynchus tshawytscha (Chinook salmon)
Lineage: Eukaryota; Metazoa; Chordata; Actinopteri; Salmoniformes; Salmonidae
Source: Ensembl